This 270-nucleotide long non-coding RNA is filed under the name Equus asinus (donkey). RNAcentral's name for it is "lncRNA (ENSEASG00005030167.1)". The record is from RNAcentral. Lineage: Eukaryota; Metazoa; Chordata; Mammalia; Perissodactyla; Equidae.
GAAAGUACAGCCCCUCCCCCCUCCCUCCCACGGUGCCAAGUGCUGGCCCCUAACAGCAUUUCUGGGGGAGACCGGCUGGUGAAUCCAUGCAAAAUCAGAAAGGACAGGCCAGUGUGGGGACGCGUCUCCAGCCUCCUCGGAUUUAGGAUGCCCCAUUGUCAGGAAGGAGCCUGAGAUGGUCAAACCCCCUCUCACCUGAUGGCUUAUGUCACCAACAUGACGCUCUUAACAAGAGGGCUCACCCCUGCUUGCACACCUCCAGGUUGGGGA